CCUACGGGAGGCAGCAGUGGGGAAUAUUGCACAAUGGAGGGAACUCUGAUGCAGCGACGCCGCGUGAGUGAAGAAGUAAUUCGUUACGUAAAGCUCUAUCAGCAGGGAAGAAAGUGACGGUACCUGACAAAGAAGCCCCGGCUAAAUACGUGCCAGCAGCCGCGGUAAUACGUAUGGAGCAAGCGUUAUCCGGAUUUACUGGGUGUAAAGGGAGAGUAGGUGGCAGCGCAAGUCCGAAGUGAAAAGCCAAAGCUCAACUAUGGGAAUGCUUUAGAAACUGCGCAGCUAGAGUGCAGGAGAGGUAAGUGGAAUUCUUGGUGUAGCGGUGAAAUGCGUAGAUAUUAGGAGGAACACCAGUGGCGAAGGCAGCUUACUGGCGUGUAACUGACACUGAGGCUCGAAAGCGUGGGGAGCAAACAGGAUUAGAUACCCUAGUAGUC
Molecule: ribosomal RNA, 440 nt
Filed under: uncultured bacterium
Lineage: Bacteria
Description: partial 16S ribosomal RNA
Rfam family: Bacterial small subunit ribosomal RNA
Source: RNAcentral